AGUGAACGCUGGCGGUAGGCCUAACACAUGCAAGUCGAACGGCAGCACAGUAAGAGCUUGCUCUUACGGGUGGCGAGUGGCGGACGGGUGAGGAAUACAUCGGAAUCUACUUUUUCGUGGGGGAUAACGUAGGGAAACUUACGCUAAUACCGCAUACGACCUCCGGGUGAAAGCAGGGGAUCUUCGGACCUUGCGCGAUUGAAUGAGCCGAUGUCGGAUUAGCUAGUUGGCGGGGUAAAGGCCCACCAAGGCGACGAUCCGUAGCUGGUCUGAGAGGAUGAUCAGCCACACUGGAACUGAGACACGGUCCAGACUCCUACGGGAGGCAGCAGUGGGGAAUAUUGGACAAUGGGCGCAAGCCUGAUCCAGCCAUACCGCGUGGGUGAAGAAGGCCUUCGGGUUGUAAAGUCCUUUUGUUGGGAAAGAAAAGCAGCAGGUUAAUACCCCGCUGUUCUGACGGUACCCAAAGAAUAAGCACCGGCUAACUUCGUG
Molecule: ribosomal RNA, 492 nt
Filed under: uncultured bacterium
Lineage: Bacteria
Description: partial 16S ribosomal RNA
Rfam family: Bacterial small subunit ribosomal RNA
Source: RNAcentral